UACGUAGGGGGCAAGCGUUGUCCGGAUUUAUUGGGCGUAAAGAGCGUGUAGGCGGCCAAGCAGGUCCGCUGUGAAAACUCGAGGCUCAACCUCGAGACGUCGGUUGAAACCAUCUGGCUAGAGUCCGGAAGAGGAGUGUGGAAUUCCCGGUGUAGCGGUGAAAUGGCGCAGAUAUCGGGAAGAACACCCGUGGCGAAGGCGGCACUCUGGGACGGUACUGACGCGUGAGACGCGAAAGCGUGGGGAGCGAACGAGG
This 256-nucleotide ribosomal RNA is filed under the name uncultured bacterium. Its description in RNAcentral is "partial 16S ribosomal RNA". It matches the Rfam family "Bacterial small subunit ribosomal RNA", at positions 524 to 777 of the family's 1533-position model. The record is from RNAcentral.